CAACCUCAACUCAUAUGGGACUACCCCCUGAAUUUAAGCAUAUUAAUUAGGGGAGGAAAAGAAACUAACAAGGAUUUUCUUAGUAGCGGCGAGCGAAAAGAAAACAGUUCAGCACUAAGUCACUUUGUCUAUAUGGCAAAUGUGAGAUGCAGUGUAUGGAGCGUCAAUAUUCUAGUAUGAGAAAUUAAUGAUUUAAGUCCUUCUUAAAUGAGGCCAUUUACCCAUAGAGGGUGCCAGGCCCGUAUAACGUUAAUGAUUACUAGAUGAUGUUUCCAAAGAGUCGUGUUGCUUGAUAGUGCAGCACUAAGUGGGUGGUAAACUCCAUCUAAAACUAAAUAUAACCAUGAGACCGAUAGUAAACAAGUACCGUGAGGGAAAGUUGAAAAGAACUCUGAAUAGAGAGUUAAACAGUACGUGAAACUGCUUAGAGGUUAAACCCCAAGAAACCUGAAUAUCCCGUUAGGAAAAUUCCUCCUUUAAAUUGUAAAAAUUUUAAAAAAUAUUAUUAAAAAAAAAAGGCCUUUUUUUCCUAAAAAGGACAUUUUAAUCCAUUAACAAUUCCCCAAUUUUUUCAAAAAAAAAAAAUUUAAAAUUUUUUCCAAUUAAAAUUGCCUGGCCUUUUUAACAAAAAAAAA
This 635-nucleotide non-coding RNA is filed under the name Drosophila simulans. RNAcentral describes it as "Eukaryotic large subunit ribosomal RNA". It matches the Rfam family "Eukaryotic large subunit ribosomal RNA", at positions 1 to 617 of the family's 3401-position model. Lineage: Eukaryota; Metazoa; Arthropoda; Insecta; Diptera; Drosophilidae. The record is from Rfam by way of RNAcentral.